Molecule: long non-coding RNA, 1554 nt
Filed under: Mytilus galloprovincialis (Mediterranean mussel)
Lineage: Eukaryota; Metazoa; Mollusca; Bivalvia; Mytilida; Mytilidae
Source: RNAcentral
AUGUAACAUAAUUAGGUCUUUCCACCUUUCCGUGGAAAGACCUAUUGAAUUUGUUCUGAUUAUUAUUAGGUCUUUCCACCUUUCCGUGGAAAGACCUAUUGAAUUUGUUCUGAUUAUUAUUAGGUCUUUCCACCUUUCCGUGGAAAGACCUAUUGAAUUUGUUCUGAUUAUUAUUAGGUCUUUCCACUUUUCCGUGGAAAGACCUAUAGGUUUUGUUCUGAUUAUUAUUAUUAUUAUUAUUAUUAUUAUUUUUUUUUUUUUUUUCUUCCGCCUAAUUUUUUUCUUGCGUAGUAUUGUUGUUUAAUAAGUUGUCGCUUAGAUAUUUGGAAUAUGAUGUCGUAUAGUUUAUACGCUUUAAAAAUUGACAACUGCGUAACAAAAUACUUUACGUUGUAAGAGUUAUCUCCCCAAACACUGUUUUUCUUGUGGCCACUACUCCUUCGCAACCGUAAAAAAUUACGACAAAUUUAUUUUACCAAAUUGCUCGUUACUUCUUCAGGAUUAGGAUAUUCAUUUGAACCGAAGCUAUCCGGAGACUCCAUAUGAGAGUUAUUUCCCCUUAUGCAUUUGAUAUAAGUGAUAUGCAUUUCUAACUGGUAAACCAUCAGUGAUAUAGGCCUAGGGUCUUUGGAUUUAAGUUCCUUGGUCCAAAAAAAUGAAAAUAAGGUCAAGGUCAAAGGUCAAGGUCAUAUUCUAAAUUUUGAUUUUGGCUUAUUUUCUCUUAUUUUCAACAACCGUGCAAGAUAUUGACAAAUUAUUUUUACUAAAUUGUGAGUUGCGACAUGUUGUAACUUAUAAAUUUUGGUUGGAAAGGGUGCGUAAACAAUAAAUGAUGGAGUUUUUCGCCCAUCUUAUAUUUAAAAUCAUGCCUAAAGUGAUAUAACUCAUUAACCAUACAUAUUACAGACCUAGGGUCUUUUGAUUUAAGGUCCUUGGUUUGUGACCUUGAAAUUGAGGUCAAGGUCAUAGGUUAAAAGGACGUUCUAGAUUUUGACCUUUGCUUUAAAUUCAUAUAAAUACAUCAUAAAGCCAUAGAGACUAACAUUUUAAACUGAUUUUUCAUAUUUCAAUAUCAAAAUAGAUCUUUACUAGUGGAAAGACCUUCAAUUGUUCUCUGAACAAUUGGUUUUUAAUUAUUAUUAUUAUUAUUUUUUUUUUUUUCUUCCGCCUAAUUUUUUUUCUUGCGUAGUAUUGAUGUUUCAAAAGAUGUCGCUUAGAUAUUUGGAAUAUGGUAUCGUAUAGUUUAUACGCUUUAAAAAUUUACAACUGCGUAACAAAAUACUUUACGUUGUAAGAGUUAUCUCCCCAAACACUGUUUUUCUUGUGGCCACUACUCCUUCGCAACCGUAAAAGAUUACGACAAAUUUAUUUUACCAAAUUGCUCGUUACAUCUUCAGGAUUAGGAUAUUCAUUUUGACCGAAGCUAUCCGGAGACUCCAUAUGAGAGUUAUUCCCCCUUUUGUAUUUGAUAUAAGUGAUAUGCAUUUCUAACUGGUAAACCAUAAGUGAUAGAGACCUAGGGUCUUUUGAUUUAAGAUCCUUGGUCCAAAAAAA